UAUCUCGCGAUAACUUAAACGACCUUGGCACGGUCGCCGGACACCACUCGCCGAGGAUGAUAUCCUUUAAUAUCAAUUUUAUUCACGAUAAGAAAGCGAACGAAUCACUUGUUCACUGUUCAAACGUCGAGAACUUACUUAAGUUAAUAUUUGAGUUAUUAUUUCGUAUCAUACGAUGCUUAUUGACUUCUGGUGUUAUAAGGAUGAUUAACCGUUACAAUAGAGGAUGACUUUGUAAAGACAUACAGGCAAACAUAUAGAAUUACCAUACAGGCCACCCGAGACAAUAAUUCCAUAUCUCAUCAGGGAGUCCACCAACGCUCUGUAAACCAUUAGCAGGAUUUUUCUGCUUAAAAUAUGCCUUUAAGUGUGAAGUCUAGGAAUAAGUCUUCGUAUGUUGUUAGCAAGAUUGUUAGCAAUCAAUUGUGAUACCCAAAUAUUAGGUGGAUUCCACAGAGAGCCUCCACACCAGAAACCGAUUCAAUUAUUUGCUAAAUUAUAUUUACUGAAGACUUAACUCUUAAAAUCACUCUAAUUUGUUGUUGAUUCCAAUCGUUCUACCGUUAUAAAAUUGUUAAUUUUUUUUUAAAUACAUCAGUUGUUCAGUUGAA
Long non-coding RNA from Dendroctonus ponderosae (mountain pine beetle), 611 nucleotides. RefSeq lists it as uncharacterized. The transcript has 2 exons. The record is from RefSeq and is a predicted model, not a curated record. Lineage: Eukaryota; Metazoa; Arthropoda; Insecta; Coleoptera; Curculionidae.